GACGAACGCUGGCGGCGUGCUUAACACAUGCAAGUCGAACGGAAAGGCCCUGCUUUUGUGGGGUGCUCGAGUGGCGAACGGGUGAGUAACACGUGAGUAACCUGCCCUUGACUUUGGGAUAACUUCAGGAAACUGGGGCUAAUACCGGAUAGGAGCUCCUGCUGCAUGGUGGGGGUUGGAAAGUUUCGGCGGUUGGGGAUGGACUCGCGGCUUAUCAGCUUGUUGGUGGGGUAGUGGCUUACCAAGGCUUUGACGGGUAGCCGGCCUGAGAGGGUGACCGGCCACAUUGGGACUGCGAUACGGCCCAGACUCCUACGGUAGGCAGCAGUGGGGAAUAUUGCACAAUGGGCGGAAGCCUGAUGCAGCAACGCCGCGGGCGGGAUGACGGCCUUCGGGUUGUAAACCGCUUUCGCCUGUGACGAAGCGUGAGUGACGGUAAUGGGUAAAGAAGCACCGGCUAACUACGUG
Molecule: ribosomal RNA, 468 nt
Filed under: uncultured bacterium
Lineage: Bacteria
Description: partial 16S ribosomal RNA
Rfam family: Bacterial small subunit ribosomal RNA
Source: RNAcentral